This 484-nucleotide ribosomal RNA is filed under the name uncultured bacterium. RNAcentral describes it as "partial 16S ribosomal RNA". It matches the Rfam family "Bacterial small subunit ribosomal RNA", at positions 30 to 507 of the family's 1533-position model. The record is from RNAcentral.
AUUGAACGCUGGCGGCAGGCCUAACACAUGCAAGUCGAGCGGAUGAAGGGAGCUUGCUCCUGGAUUCAGCGGCGGACGGGUGAGUAAUGCCUAGGAAUCUGCCUGGUAGUGGGGGAUAACGUCCGGAAACGGGCGCUAAUACCGCAUACGUCCCGAGGGAGAAAGUGGGGGAUCUUCGGACCUCACGCUAUCAGAUGAGCCUAGGUCGGAUUAGCUAGUUGGUGGGGUAAAGGCCUACCAAGGCGACGAUCCGUAACUGGUCUGAGAGGAUGAUCAGUCACACUGGAACUGAGACACGGUCCAGACUCCUACGGGAGGCAGCAGUGGGGAAUAUUGGACAAUGGGCGAAAGCCUGAUACAGCCAUGCCGCGUGUGUGAAGAAGGUCUUCGGAUUGUAAAGCACUUUAAGUUGGGAGGAAGGGCAGUAAGUUAAUACCUUGCUGUUUUGACGUUAACAACAGAAUAAGCACCGGCUAACUUCGUG